Molecule: transfer RNA, 77 nt
Filed under: Rhodobacterales bacterium
Lineage: Bacteria; Pseudomonadati; Pseudomonadota; Alphaproteobacteria; Rhodobacterales
Description: tRNA-Ile
Rfam family: tRNA
About the family: Transfer RNA (tRNA) molecules are approximately 80 nucleotides in length.
Source: RNAcentral
CCAAAUGUAGCUCAUUCGGGUAGAGCAUUCGACUGAUAAUCGAAGUGUAGCGGGUUCGAAUCCCGCCAUUUGACCCG